Non-coding RNA from Meleagris gallopavo (turkey), 2033 nucleotides. The record is from RefSeq and is a predicted model, not a curated record. NCBI's taxonomy places the organism in Eukaryota, Metazoa, Chordata, Aves, Galliformes, Phasianidae.
GAUCGGCUCGUCCCGCACCAAAGCUUGUCUUCUGUGUAACGAGACCUCAAAAACACAGCAGAUGCAUAUCCCAAGACUGGGAGCGCAAUGAAGAAGCAAAAAUGACAGAAUGGAAAAAGUCAAUUUCUGCAGAUCAGGCCUGUCCAGCAACAUUUCUACUUUCAGUCUGCUCAAUGCAAAGGAAUGGGGACUGUCGUCAGUCUGCAACACUUCCUCCCUCCUGCUCCUCCAUGGUCACUCUCUGUUCCUGUUCCAGCAUGGAUCCCUCCGAUGGGAUGCUGUCCUUCCCAAACUGAUCCUGUAUGGGUUUCCCACAGGCUGAAGCUCUUCAAGAACUGCCUGGAGCACCUCCUGCCCUCUUUCUCCGCUGACCUUAGUGACUACACAGUUGUUUCUCAUUUCCUCAUUCUGCUGUCCCCAACUGCUGUUGCACAGUAGCUUUUUUUCCCUAAAUCUGCUCUCCCAGAGGCACACCCAGCACUGCUCAUUGGCUCAGCUCUGGCCAUUGGUGUGUCCCUUUAGGAGCUGGCUCUGAUCUGACAUGGGGCAGUUCCUGGGCUCUUCUCACAAAGGGUGUCCCUGCAGCCCCCCGCUACCAAAAUCUUGCCACAUAAUCCCAGCAUGCUUGCAUUUUGUUUUCAGACACAAAUAUAACAUCCUAUAUGAAAUUAUUGCUAUUCUGGUUACAUGAGAUAUCCAGUUCUUCCAUUCUAAAGUCCAUUUGUGCUGUAGAGAACAUGUAGGGAUUGUGAAUGUACCCGUAAGUACCAUUCCACAGUUGAACUAAUUGUCAGGCCAAGCAAGGGACCACAGUAAAUGGGUGAAUAAUUUGAUCCAAGAUGGAUUUGUACUCUACCACACAGCCUGAAAUCUUCUAAUGCUUUUGGAUUUGACUGUGAGCUGUUCAUUGUUGUUUGAGCCUGUUACUUUCUAUUACCGUAUUUUCUCUGGAUAUCAUUUGUGUACCUUAUCUUUGUAUAAAAGGCCUCAUCUCUACCAUAUUUCUGGGGAGUAGUCUGUAGAAGCAUACAAAAUUUACUGCUGUAGACCAAAAUAUGACAGAUAAAGGUAGUACAUUACAAAGUCCUUGCCCUCAAUCAAGCAGAAGGCUGCCUAUGCUUCUGUGAGCAGUGGUACAUAUGUGACUACCCUGUAAGGGGAGAAGAGUUAAUGGCAAACUAAGACAUCUUCUGCAGCAAAAGCAGAGGGAGUCUUCACUAAGCAAUUGCCUUUUAUGUAAUAAACAAUGUCAUGUGUGCAGUGGUCAAUAAAGGGUGUUUUCUUGCCCUAAUCUCCUUCCAUUCAACUUAAAAUAAAAAUGCUAUUAGUCUGACUAGCAGGCUGAUGUAUUCUGAAUCCUGACCAUAGAUGUUUUGCAUGUUGAAUUUAUGCUGCUAGCAGAGGUGUUACUGCAGCAGCCUUUGUCUUUCCUUUCAUUGAAUAAAAUACAGUAAAUAAACUUAGACUAUAACUUCAGUGGUGUUAGGUAUGUUUGGCAGAUUUGUCUCUUUAUAUAAUGCAGUUUCUUUGCAAUACAGCAUACACUGCUUUUUAUUACAGGCAAUUUUAGCUUCUUUUGACUGAAAAUUGAGCUCUAAUUACUAAUGAGUACUUUCUAAAAUAAUUUAAUCUUAGGAAAGAAUGCACGUAACAUAAUUGUUAAAUAUCUACUGGCAAGAUAGGUAGCUUGUGUUUUCACUAACCCUUAAAGGAGGUUAAGGUUUGAUAACUCAAGAGAAAUGGCAAAAGCCAUGAUACAUGAUUAAAGUAAUUAAGAAUUGAAAGAUUAUGACAGCAUAUCUGUGUUUCUUUGUAGAAGCCUUGACUUUCAAGGCAUGUGAUUUCUUUUCCUCAUGGAUGUGUUGAAUUUUUUGGUACAGAACAGCCACAUAAAUGAAUGUUCCAUAGCUGAAAAUCUCCAUGUCAGUUAAAGGAAACAGGAAGGGCCAGAGCUUCAAGGCAGUGCACUGGUAGUUGUUUCUGUGCUGCAAAUAAAUUGUGUCCAUCUCCUGUUCUUUCUAGUGAAAUGCAGA